UACGGGAGGCAGCAGUGGGGAAUAUUGGACAAUGGGCGAAAGCCUGAUCCAGCCAUGCCGCAUGAGUGAAGAAGGCCUUCGGGUUGUAAAGCUCUUUUAGUGAGAAAGAUAAUGACGGUACUCACAGAAGAAGUCCUGGCUAACUCCGUGCCAGCAGCCGCGGUAAUACGGAGAGGGCUAGCGUUAUUCGGAAUUAUUGGGCGUAAAGAGCGCGUAGGCUGAUUAGUAAGUUAAAGUGAAAUCCCAAAGCUUAACUUUGGAAUUGCUUUUUAAAACUGCUAGUCUAGAGAUUUGAAAGAGGAUAGAGGAAUUCCUAGUGUAGAGGUGAAAUUCGUAAAUAUUAGGAGGAACACCAGUGGCGAAGGCGUCUAUCUGGUUCAAAUCUGACGCUGAGGCGCGAAGGGCGUGGGGAGCAAACAGGGAUUAGAUACC
This 432-nucleotide ribosomal RNA is filed under the name uncultured bacterium. RNAcentral describes it as "bacterial SSU rRNA". It matches the Rfam family "Bacterial small subunit ribosomal RNA", at positions 340 to 786 of the family's 1533-position model. The record is from RNAcentral.